This 543-nucleotide ribosomal RNA is filed under the name uncultured bacterium. RNAcentral describes it as "bacterial SSU rRNA". It matches the Rfam family "Bacterial small subunit ribosomal RNA", at positions 355 to 896 of the family's 1533-position model. The record is from RNAcentral.
UGGGGAAUAUUGCACAAUGGGCGAAAGCCUGAUGCAGCGACGCCGCGUGAGGGAUGACGGCCUUCGGGUUGUAAACCUCUUUCGCUCAUGGUCAAGCCGCAGCUUUGGGUUGUGGUGAGGGUAGUGGGUAAAGAAGCGCCGGCUAACUACGUGCCAGCAGCCGCGGUAAUACGUAGGGCGCGAGCGUUGUCCGGAAUUAUUGGGCGUAAAGGGCUUGUAGGCGGUUGGUCGCGUCUGCCGUGAAAUCCUCUGGCUUAACUGGGGGCGUGCGGUGGGUACGGGCUGACUUGAGUGCGGUAGGGGAGACUGGAACUCCUGGUGUAGCGGUGGAAUGCGCAGAUAUCAGGAAGAACACCGGUGGCGAAGGCGGGUCUCUGGGCCGUUACUGACGCUGAGGAGCGAAAGCGUGGGGAGCGAACAGGAUUAGAUACCCUGGUAGUCCACGCUGUAAACGUUGGGCACUAGGUGUGGGGGCCACCCGUGGUUUCUGCGCCGUAGCUAACGCUUUAAGUGCCCCGCCUGGGGAGUACGGCCGCAAGGCUA